Triticum aestivum (bread wheat) is the source of this 125-nucleotide non-coding RNA. The record is from Rfam. NCBI's taxonomy places the organism in Eukaryota, Viridiplantae, Streptophyta, Magnoliopsida, Poales, Poaceae.
UUUAUACUCCCUCCGUCCGGAAAUACUUGUCGAAGGAAUGGAUGUAUCUAGUCAUAUUUUAGUUUUAGAUGCAUUCACUUUUACACAUUUCCAUGAUAAGUAUUUCCGGACGGAGAAAGUAUAUG